Molecule: non-coding RNA, 30 nt
Filed under: Mus musculus (house mouse)
Lineage: Eukaryota; Metazoa; Chordata; Mammalia; Rodentia; Muridae
Source: RNAcentral
UAACGUCAAGAGAAUGGUUUUUGGUGCAUC